This 253-nucleotide ribosomal RNA is filed under the name uncultured bacterium. Its description in RNAcentral is "partial 16S ribosomal RNA". It matches the Rfam family "Bacterial small subunit ribosomal RNA", at positions 524 to 776 of the family's 1533-position model. The record is from RNAcentral.
UACAGAGACUGCAAGCGUUAUUCGGAUUCACUGGGCGUAAAGGGUGCGCAGGCGGCCGUGUGUGUGAGGCGUGAAAGCCCGGAGCUCAACUCCGGAAUUGCACCUCAAACUACACGGCUAGAGCAUUGGAGAGGGUAGCGGAAUUCACGGUGUAGCAGUGAAAUGCGUAGAUAUCGUGAGGAACACCAGAGGCGAAGGCGGCUACCUGGACAAUUGCUGACGCUCAGGCACGAAAGCGUGGGGAGCAAACAGG